This 911-nucleotide long non-coding RNA is filed under the name Homo sapiens (human). Its description in RNAcentral is "HSALNT0340335". The record is from RNAcentral. Lineage: Eukaryota; Metazoa; Chordata; Mammalia; Primates; Hominidae.
UCAUGCCAUUGCACUCCAGCCUGGGUGACAGAGCGAGACUGUCUCAAAAAAAAAAAAAAAAUCUAUAUUCUGAGGCGCUACGAGCUAAAAUUAAUAGCAAACAUCAUUAAUGAAUGUUUGAUAAUCUGCCAAGCAUCAAAGUGCUAUAGAUGUAUAAUUUUACUUACCCCUUAUGGCUAUUUGAUAGAGGAACUAACAUUAUCCCCAUUUGAAAGACGAAGAAAGAGGAGCACAAAGACAUUGAGCAGAUUGCCCGAGGCUACCCAGCUAGUGAGUAGGAACAGGGACUUCAACCCAGCUUAUUGUGUCUUUUGAGAUAUAUUACCUCCCAGUCCUAAUGUGGUUAGAAUUCCCAGAAACCCAGAUCUGUAAAUGUCUGCAUGUGACUAUUCCAGUAGCAGAGCUGCACAUGAGACAGGCAGAAGGAUCAGCAAGUAUCAACUCGGGGACCUGCUAGCCAAACGUGGCACAGUCGAGCACUCUCUAUUUGUUCCUUCACUUUCCAGUUCUGUGGAGCUGUCUUGCCAAUAAAUAAAAGGAGGAAGAUUAAAGGAGAGAAGAUUUAAAGAGUGUGUGAAGAGCAAUUCAAAGUCUAGCACUGUUUCUGGAAAACAAUUUCAAGUUCAAGCCCAGUGAGGCCACUGCCAUGCACAGAAGACAGACAGCACCAUCAGACUGAGAUGAGAAAAGCAGGCUUAGAACGGAUUACAUAACUUGCUUACAGAGCCACAUUUGUAAAUGACUCCAGCAUAGUGUUAAAUGAUCGAUUUUUGGACUAUUCAAGCUUUUUAUAUCCAUUAACUCCAAUUAAUUGGAUGGACUUAUCUUCCUUGGUGACUUGGUUUAUCGUGUGAGCCAUUCUGGCAGAAGUUAGACUUCAUGUAACCCCAUAAUGAAUUCCUGUCUAGUAG